This 866-nucleotide long non-coding RNA is filed under the name Pongo abelii (Sumatran orangutan). RNAcentral describes it as "lincRNA". Lineage: Eukaryota; Metazoa; Chordata; Mammalia; Primates; Hominidae. The record is from RNAcentral.
CCCCAUGGCCUGGGGCUAACAGUAAAAAGUUGGCGACACCGUGCUCCCAGCCACCACAUCUGCACCCGAGGGAGCAAAGGCCCUGAGCCGCAGGGACCAUGGAGCAGCCAUGUGGCUCUGUGUCUGACACUAAGGUGCAUGUGGCCACACCCACAGGUCCCACGGCCCUCACGCUGAUGACUCUGGAGCUGUUUUGUCGCCAUCACCCCCUGCACCUCCCUCUUUUGUUAAGUCCUCUUAUUUGUGAUUUAGUCUUAGGAAGCAACAUCUUACAUUUCUCUAUACUCGCCUCAGCAGCAAACAUGUUUUGGCCUCUGUUAUUACCUUAUUUAUGACAACUUAAUUUUCUUGACAAGCUUAAUAGUAUUUGUAAGAAGACACCACACCCAAACCUUCCCAGGCACUGGGAACACACAGAGGAGCUGGAAUGCGGCUUUCUCUGUCUUUGCGAUGUUCUCCAUCCUUGGCAGCAUCUUCAUUAGCCUGCCUGUGGCCGCACCAAGGGCCAGCACAGCUGGCCUGUCCCCACAGGAGUCCCCGCGUGACCGCACAACCCCAUCUGCCCGGUCACCGUCGCACCCCACUCAGCGUGACAUUUAACAAGGUAUGUAGGGUCAGGCAGGUUAAAUGUGAGAAAAUUAAUUUGUAUAACGGCAAGCAGCAACUAUAGGCACACAGAUGCUUAAAAGAUGUCUUCUAUUGUAUUAAGUUAACAGAUUUUCGUAAUCACAUAGAGUGGAGCAAGAUGAUUCAGUUAAAGGAUUUACUUAGGAGCCUGGAAGGGAUGUUAGUACAUCUCUGUGAUAAUUAAGGGACUGCUAAUCUCUUAACCUCUGCAAUAAGAUAUGCUUCAUUAUCCUUUAAAU